UCUGAUCUUAGGGAGAAAGCUAUCAGAUUUCAACACUGAGUAUGAUGUUCACUGUGGAAUUUUCAUUAUGUCGAGUGUCUUUACUUGGUUACAGGGUAAUGCUGACUUCAAAGAAUGAAUUGGGAAGCUUUCCUUCAUCUUCUAUUUUUUGGAAUAGUUGGAAAAGGAUAGAGAGAAAUCACAAGUAG
Molecule: long non-coding RNA, 188 nt
Organism: Neogale vison (American mink)
Lineage: Eukaryota; Metazoa; Chordata; Mammalia; Carnivora; Mustelidae
Exons: 3
Source: RefSeq, a predicted model, not a curated record